RNAcentral lists this ribosomal RNA (429 nucleotides) under bacterium. RNAcentral's name for it is "partial 16S ribosomal RNA". It matches the Rfam family "Bacterial small subunit ribosomal RNA", at positions 355 to 776 of the family's 1533-position model. The record is from RNAcentral. RNAcentral also lists the same sequence under 1 other name.
UGGGGAAUUUUGGACAAUGGGCGAAAGCCUGAUCCAGCAAUGCCGCGUGUGUGAAGAAGGCCUUCGGGUUGUAAAGCACUUUUGUCCGGAAAGAAAUGGCUCUGGUUAAUACCUGGGGUCGAUGACGGUACCGGAAGAAUAAGGACCGGCUAACUACGUGCCAGCAGCCGCGGUAAUACGUAGGGUCCAAGCGUUAAUCGGAAUUACUGGGCGUAAAGCGUGCGCAGGCGGUUGUGCAAGACCGAUGUGAAAUCCCCGAGCUUAACUUGGGAAUUGCAUUGGUGACUGCACGGCUAGAGUGUGUCAGAGGGGGGUAGAAUUCCACGUGUAGCAGUGAAAUGCGUAGUGAUGUGGAGGAAUACCGAUGGCGAAGGCAGCCCCCUGGGAUAACACUGACGCUCAUGCACGAAAGCGUGGGGAGCAAACAGG